GAUCAAUUAUCCAAUAAUUAAU
Molecule: small nuclear RNA, 22 nt
Filed under: Arabidopsis thaliana (thale cress)
Lineage: Eukaryota; Viridiplantae; Streptophyta; Magnoliopsida; Brassicales; Brassicaceae
Description: snRNA_18002
Source: RNAcentral